RNAcentral lists this ribosomal RNA (501 nucleotides) under Wadicosa fidelis. RNAcentral describes it as "partial 16S ribosomal RNA". The stretch from base 153 to 453 matches the Rfam family "Bacterial large subunit ribosomal RNA", at positions 2074 to 2646 of the family's 2925-position model. Lineage: Eukaryota; Metazoa; Arthropoda; Arachnida; Araneae; Lycosidae. The record is from RNAcentral.
GCUCAAUGAAAUUUAAAUAGCCGCUUUUGUGCUAAGGUAGCAUAAUAAUUUGUCUUUUAAUUAAAGACUAGAACAAAAGACUUAACAUCUCAAUAGAUUUUUUUUAAAAAAUUAUUUAAAUUAUUUUAAUUGUAAAAAAACAAUUUUUAAAAAGAAAGACGAUAAGACCCUAUCGAACUUCACUUCAGUUUAACUGGGGCAGUUAAUUAAUUAUUACUUUAAUAAUAUUAAAUAUUUAAUUUGACCUAAUAUAAUUAACAAUAUAAUUAAGUUACCGUAGGGAUAACAGUGUAAUAAAAUUUUUAAGAUCUUAUUUAAAAUAAAGAUUGCAACCUCGAUGUUGAUUUAAUAUUCUAAUUUACGCAAUAGUUAAUUAAGAAAGUCUGUUCGACUUUUAAAAAAUUACAUGAUUUGAGUUCAGACCGGUGUAAACCAGGUCGGUUUCUAUCUUCUAAUAAAAAAUUCUUCUAGUACGAAAGGACCUAAGAAAAUAAUAGUAUU